AAAGUGAUUGAGCCAUGCCGCCUAGAAAAGCUUCUAAGCGUUGAUAUUUGAGUGACCGUACCGCAAACCGACACUGGUAGGUGGGUAGAAUAUACCAAGGGGAGCGAGAGAACCCUCGUUAAGGAAUUAGGCAAAUUUCCCCCGUACGUUCGCAAUAAGGGGGGCCUCUGGUGGUGAGCUUAAUCGCAAAGCUGCUGGAGGCCGCAGAGAAAUGGCUCUUCCAACUGUUUAACAAAAACACAGGUCUCUGCUAAGUCGAAAGACGAAGUAUAGGGGCUGACGCCUGCCCAGUGCUGGAAGGUUAAGGGGAGAGGUUAGGCGCAAGCCGAAGCUUUGAGCCGAAGCCCCAGUGAACGGCGGCCGUAACAAUAACGGUCCUAAGGUAGCGAAAUUCCUUGUCGGGUAAGAUCCGACCCGCACGAAUGGCGUAAUGAGAGGAGCACUGUCUCAACGAGGGACUCGGCGAACAUUGAAGGACGUGUGAAGAUACACGUGACCCGCAGCGGGACAAAAAGACCCCGUGAAGCUUUACUACAACUUGCCAUUGAGUUAGGGCUAAACCUGUGUAGUAUAGGUGGGAGGCUUUGAAGCUGGGACGCCAGUCUCGGUGGAGCCACCGUUGAAAUACCACCCUGGUUUAUUCUUGGCUCUAACCUGUCGCCGUUAUCCGGCAUGGGAACAGUGGCUGGUGGGUAGUUUGACUGGGGCGGUCGCCUCCGAAAGCGUAACAGAGGCGCCCAAAGGUUCCCUCAGGCUGAAUGGAAACCAGCCGUUGAGUGUAAAGGCACAAGGGAGCUUGACUGCAAGACCAACAAGUCGCGCAGGGACGAAAGUCGGGCUUAGUGAUCCCACGGUUCAGAGUGGAAUGCCGUGGCUUACCGGAUAAAAGCUACUCCGGGGAUAACAGGGUAGUCUGGUCCAAGAGUUCAUAUCGACGACCAGGUUCGCCACCUCGAUGUCGGCUCAUCACAUCCUGGGGCUGGAUAAGGUCCCAAGGGUUGGGCUGUUCGCCCAUUAAAGUGGUACGUGAGCUGGGUUCAGACCGUCGUGAGACAGGUCGGUCUCUAUCCGCUGUGGGCGUAAGGGAUUUGAGAGAAGCUGCCCCUAGUACGAGAGGACCGGGGUGGACGGACCUCUAGUGUGCCAGUUGUUCUGCCAAGAGCAUUGCUGGGUAGCUACGUCCGGCAGAGAUAACCGCUGAAAGCAUCUAAGUGGGAAACUCGUCUCAAGAUUAGAUCCCUCAUCCGUAUGGAGUAAGACCGCUAGAAGACUACUAGUUUGAUAGGCGGCAGGUGUAAGCGCAGUAAUGUGUUCAGCUUAGCCGUACUAAUGGUCGAGGGCUUACGCU
RNAcentral lists this ribosomal RNA (1348 nucleotides) under metagenome. RNAcentral describes it as "bacterial LSU rRNA". It matches the Rfam family "Bacterial large subunit ribosomal RNA", at positions 1588 to 2925 of the family's 2925-position model. The record is from RNAcentral.